GAGGGUAUAGCUUAGUGGUAGAACACAUGCCUACCAAGCACAAGGUCCUGGGUUCAAUCCCCAGUACCUCCA
Molecule: non-coding RNA, 72 nt
Organism: Vicugna pacos (alpaca)
Lineage: Eukaryota; Metazoa; Chordata; Mammalia; Artiodactyla; Camelidae
Source: the annotation of a RefSeq genome assembly